Molecule: ribosomal RNA, 250 nt
Filed under: uncultured bacterium
Lineage: Bacteria
Description: partial 16S ribosomal RNA
Rfam family: Bacterial small subunit ribosomal RNA
Source: RNAcentral
ACGUAGGGAGCGAGCGUUAUCCGGAUUUAUUGGGCGUAAAGCGCGCGUAGGCGGGCUAUUAAGUCAGGUGUUAAAGCCCGGGGCUCAACCCCGGCCCGCACCUGAAACUGGUAGUCUUGAGUCUGGUAGGGGAAAGUGGAAUUCCCAGUGUAGCGGUGAAAUGCGCAGAUAUUGGGAAGAACACCAGUGGCGAAGGCGGCUUUCUAGGCCACGACUGACGCUGAGGCGCGAAAGCUAGGGGAGCAAACAG